This 303-nucleotide ribosomal RNA is filed under the name uncultured bacterium. Its description in RNAcentral is "partial 16S ribosomal RNA". It matches the Rfam family "Bacterial small subunit ribosomal RNA", at positions 507 to 807 of the family's 1533-position model. The record is from RNAcentral.
AGCAGUAGCCACGGUAAUACGAAGGGGGCUAGCGUUGUUCGGAAUUACUGGGCGUAAAGCGCACGUAGGCGGAUAUUUAAGUCAGGGGUGAAAUCCCGCAGCUCAACUGCGGAACUGCCUUUGAUACUGGGUAUCUUGAGUAUGGAAGAGGUUAGUGGAAUUGCGAGUGUAGAGGUGAAAUUCGUAGAUAUUCGCAGGAACACCAGUGGCGAAGGCGGCUAACUGGUCCAUAACUGACGCUGAGGUGCGAAAGCGUGGGGAGCAAACAGGAUUAGAUACCCCUGUAGUCCCUGUCUCUUAUAC